GAUGAAGAACGUAGCGAAAUGCGAUAAGUAGUGUGAAUUGCAGAAUUCAGUGAAUCAUCGAAUCUUUGAACGCACAUUGCGCCCUUUGGUAUUCCAAAGGGCAUGCCUGUUCGAGCGUCAUUUGUACCCUCAAGCUUUGCUUGGUGUUGGGCGUCUUGUCUCUAGCUUUGCUGGAGACUCGCCUUAAAGUAAUUGGCAGCCGGCCUACUGGUUUCGGAGCGCAGCACAAGUCGCACUCUCUAUCAGCAAAGGUCUAGCAUCCACUAAGCCUUUUUUUCAACUUUUGACCUCGGAUCAGGUAGGGAUACCCGCUGAACUUAAGCAUACAAUAAGCAGAGGA
Molecule: unclassified non-coding RNA, 340 nt
Filed under: soil metagenome
Description: partial contains 5.8S ribosomal RNA, internal transcribed spacer 2, and large subunit ribosomal RNA
Rfam family: 5.8S ribosomal RNA (bases 1-120)
Source: RNAcentral